UUUAUUGUUUCAACAAAAACUGGUUCAGCUCGAGUUCCAUCUUAAAACACAAUACACUAAUAAACACUAUUGUCUCUAGAAAUCGUGUAACUUCCACCAUCAGUGCGUACUAAAAUGAAGCCAAACGUAGAGCAUAUCUGCAAUCCCGGUACUCGGCAAGUUGAGGCAGGGGGAUUUCCUCGGGUUGGAGACCAACCUGGACCACAUAGCAAGACUGUCUCAAAAACAAUCAACUAACAAUGCACACAUAUUUUCUCUAAGACUUGCCUGGCGUGGGCCACGGCGCACGCCUGCGAACCCAACACUUGCAAGGCAGAAGCGGAAGGCUAGCAGCAAGCUGUAGGCCAGUCGGCGCUAAAUAAGCGAGCUCGGUGCCAGCGAGGGCUACGUGGCAGGCAAGAAGACACAAAGACGGGAGAGGAAACAACGUAAAAAGUGUUUUGCAUACAUGCGUGUAUGUACAUCAUGUGCCUGCUGUGCCAGUGGACGUCAGAAGAGAGCAUGAGAUCUCCUGGAGCUGGAAAAUAGUCAUGAGCUACCAUGUGUAUGCUGGGAACUAAACCAGAGUCCCCUGAAGUCUCCUGUAGCCCACGCUGAUCUCAUGGAGCCAAGGAUGACCUUGAACUUCUGAUCUUCCUGCUUCGCCUUCCAAGUUCUGGGAUUACAGGAACUGCCUCCCUGAUGUUCCCACCACUGUAUUUGACAAAAGCUUUGCGACUUUCUUUUGCCCUGUGACUACAGACGUUCAUGUGACCUCUCCACCAUGGAACACAUCAUUCCAGGAAAUGAAAAGCUAUGGAUUCCUUCAAAAUUAAUAAAGAUCCUAUUUGACUGGGAGAGACCUCCUGAAUAUCUUGGCUGCAGACAUGAAGGAAAAAAACAAGAAAAACUACAAGACAGGUCUUCAAUUUUACUGUUAAAGAAACAUGAACCAAAGAAUGUCAGUCAAAUUUGUUACUGAAACUCGGAUUAAGUAAACACGAAUUUAAAAGUUGGGAAAAAGGUUGAACAUCUCUAUUUGAACAGAAGAAAACUACAGGCUGAUGGCUGACUUUCUUCACUAAGCGAGAUCUAGACAGUGUCGGGGGAAUGCCAGACAGCAGAGAAACAACCACCCCCCAGCACCAAAGACCCCACUGCAAAUCAACAACCUCCCAACAAAGGCAUGACUUAUUCAUUUGGAAUCAUAAAGGAAAAGAAAGACAGCAUUGUAAAAUGCACCGUAUGACCAAAUCUUAGUAAAAGCCACAGAUAAAAUAUUAAAA
Molecule: long non-coding RNA, 1265 nt
Organism: Peromyscus californicus insignis
Lineage: Eukaryota; Metazoa; Chordata; Mammalia; Rodentia; Cricetidae
Exons: 6
Source: RefSeq, a predicted model, not a curated record